This is a long non-coding RNA of Anopheles gambiae (African malaria mosquito), 1921 nucleotides long. RefSeq lists it as uncharacterized. The transcript has 3 exons. The record is from RefSeq and is a predicted model, not a curated record. Lineage: Eukaryota; Metazoa; Arthropoda; Insecta; Diptera; Culicidae.
UCUAUACAGGUUACGACAAAAGCCCGUUUUGGCCGAUUUCCAAUGAAAAAAUGAAUGAAAAUUUUGACAGACAAAUUGGAUUGGUUUGUUUACAAUUGGACUGGUUUGUUUACAAUUUGACUGGAUUUCAAUCGUGCAAUGCUGUGGCAAGGGAGAAAUCGACUAAGUGAGAUUCCAGUAAAAAUAUGCUUUCGUUGUCGUGAUCCAACAUGAAAAGAUCCAACAUGAAGGAGUUUAAGAUUGUGUCAGGGAAAAGGAUUACAUCGAGCAAGUGGAGGAUUAAUGUGAAAUCAUUCGCUUCUCAGCAUUACCAGCAUUACGGAUAAGGAGAUAAAUAAGCGUGUGAAGUACACAGCUAGAAAGCAUAUGUUGGAGGGAAAAUGUAUGCUGUUUUUGGAACUUGCACGAUGUCUCAGGUGGGUGUGCAGUGCAGACACAGUUUCAUCUUACGAGUUUCUUUUCCGUCCAACAACAGUAAAGUAUAUAUGGAGAGGGAGGGGUGCAAAGUGCCGUACUUUCCCAAAGUAAUCACUGUUCGUAAUAGGUGAGGAAUAUUAUCAUGCCUGGCUGUUGCACAGUAUCCGUUGGGAUGAGGUCUAACUCCCUCGAGGCUAACGGACGAUGUCCCAUUCCGCCCUACUGCAACAUAGUGUCCAGAUGACCGAGAUGGCAUGUUGCUUCGGCUAGGUGAGUAUCGUUGCACUAAUGAACCAAUGCCCCGUUGAAUGUAGUUCCAUUCCAGGGAACGAAAUCUUUUAUCGACCGGAUGCAGCUGCAGCAUUAGCAGAGGGAGAAGAGUUAUGCCACUAUGGGUAUAAAAUAGAGAUGUACUGUCAUAUAGAGAUAUAACAGUGCCGUGCAGUGCUUUUGGAUUUAACAGUGCAGCAUGAUGGACCCAGUACAUAAAUAAGCAACAAUUGCAACCAUAGCCUGACUCCAGCGUGUGAUCUGGAGGGAUAAUAAGUUUUGACACGCAGACUGGAUGCACGCGAUCAUACGUCAUCUAUCAUCUCGGUUCAUUAUUUAAUUUAAUUUUAUUUAGUUUUUAUUUCAUACAAAUAUCUGCUUCAGAAGGCUAAAUAUAAGGAAACAUAUAAACAAAAAAUUGAAAUAAUUAUAACAAACUAAUAACAUAUUAUAAUUACAAACUAACAACGUAGAUUGGGCCACAAGCAAUUUAAUAACACAGACAAUAUAGUAGGAUGGCACAGAUAUGAUAAGGAAACGAGUUAAAGAACUGUAGGAAGAGGGAGCGAAGAGAUUGAGGGAGGAUAUGAAAGUCAAACUCACCAGAGGCACUGUUGAAGCGAUGAAGGGAUUGAAUAAACGGAUCGUUCGAAUGAUAUAGCGUUCUUCUCGACGGAAUUAGUAUAAAUUCGCGGCUUCAGAAAGUGAGCGGGUGUGUACAGUGUAAUUCUAUUAAGUAAUGAAGGACAGUCAAAAACCCUAGAAAGUAAGGACGUCGGGUUCACCCGAAUGAAUAGUAGUUGUAAGGAAGCAUAACUGACUCCGACCCGUUGGUGCAGCGAGUUUGGGUCAGGUCAAAGUAGGUUCAAUACCCGACCCGUACUCGCUGCACCAAUGGGUCGUAAUCGCUUAUGCUUUCUCGCAUCUACUGGAAUCAUUGCACCUAAUACUUUUAUUUGCAACUUUCAGGUCGACCCGCACAACUCCGGGUUGCUUGGGAUUGCUCCGACCCGGUAAGUUCUAGUUGCUCCGCCUAUCACAAGUGUGUGUGUAUGAAGAACGUGUGUGAGUUGUCGGAUCGCUGACCAAGGAGUAGGAGAAUGAGAUAAAAGUGAGGGAUAGCAAUUAAACCACACGUGCAGAGAACUAGGGAGUUAAUGUUUAACGAGUCCGUUGUAGUAAUAAUAAUUGUAAAUAAACUUCAAAUAUAAACUUAAAACAUAUUUUUGUCUAA